RNAcentral lists this ribosomal RNA (492 nucleotides) under uncultured bacterium. RNAcentral's name for it is "partial 16S ribosomal RNA". It matches the Rfam family "Bacterial small subunit ribosomal RNA", at positions 29 to 507 of the family's 1533-position model. The record is from RNAcentral.
AGUGAACGCUGGCGGUAGGCCUAACACAUGCAAGUCGAACGGCAGCACAGUAAGAGCUUGCUCUUACGGGUGGCGAGUGGCGGACGGGUGAGGAAUACAUCGGAAUCUACUUUUUCGUGGGGGGUAACGUAGGGAAACUUACGCUAAUACCUCAUACGACCUACGGGUGAAAGCAGGGGAUCUUCGGACCUUGCGCGAUUGAAUGAGCCGAUGUCGGAUUAGCUAGUUGGCGGGUUAAAGGCCCACCAAGGCGACGAUCCGUAGCUGGUCUGAGAGGAUGAUCAGCAACACUGGAACUGAGACACGGUCCAGCCUCCUACGGGAGGCGGCAGUGGGGAAUAUUGGACAAUGGGCGAAAGCCUGAUCCAGCCAUACCGCGUGGGUGAAGAAGGCCUUCGGGUUGUAAAGCCCUUUUGUUGGGAAAGAAAAGCAGCAGGUUAAUACCCCGAUGUUCUGACGGUACCCAAAGAAUAAGCACCGGCUAACUUCGUG